CUCUGUGACUCCUACGGGAGGCAGCAGUGGGGAAUAUUGCACAAUGGGCGCAAGCCUGAUGCAGCAACGCCGUGUGAGUGAAGAAGGUUUCGGAUCGUAAAACUCUGUCCUAAGGGAAGAAACAAAUGACGGUACCUUAGGAGGAAGCCCCGGCUAACUACGUGCCAGCAGCCGCGGUAAUACGUAGGGGGCAAGCGUUAUCCGGAAUCACUGGGCGUAAAGGGUGCGUAGGCGGCUUAGCAAGCCAGGGGUGAAAGGCAUUGGCUCAACCAAUGUAAGCCUUUGGAACUGUUAGGCUUGAGUGCAGGAGAGGUAAGUGGAAUUCCUAGUGUAGAGGUGAAAUUCGUAGAUAUUAGGAGGAACACCAGUGGCGAAGGCGACUUACUGGACUGUAACUGACGCUGAUGCACGAAAGCGUGGGUAGCGAACAGGAUUAGAUACCCUGGUAG
This 449-nucleotide ribosomal RNA is filed under the name uncultured bacterium. Its description in RNAcentral is "bacterial SSU rRNA". It matches the Rfam family "Bacterial small subunit ribosomal RNA", at positions 328 to 793 of the family's 1533-position model. The record is from RNAcentral.